GGGGAUGUAGCUCAGUGGUAGAGCGCUUGCUUCGCAUGUAUGAAGUCCAGCGUUCAAUCCCCUCCAUCUCCA
RNAcentral lists this transfer RNA (72 nucleotides) under Ameiurus melas (black bullhead). It matches the Rfam family "tRNA". Rfam says of the family: Transfer RNA (tRNA) molecules are approximately 80 nucleotides in length. Their secondary structure includes four short double-helical elements and three loops (D, anti-codon, and T loops). The record is from Rfam by way of RNAcentral. Lineage: Eukaryota; Metazoa; Chordata; Actinopteri; Siluriformes; Ictaluridae.